This is a long non-coding RNA of Alligator mississippiensis (American alligator), 547 nucleotides long. RefSeq lists it as uncharacterized. NCBI's taxonomy places the organism in Eukaryota, Metazoa, Chordata, Crocodylia, Alligatoridae. The record is from RefSeq and is a predicted model, not a curated record. The transcript has 3 exons.
CUUGAUUGCGGCGGCCAUUUUAGAACUCUGGUCGCCUAUAUAAAUGGGGCAGUUCCCUGCUGGCGGGCUAAGUAGAAGCAUUGCUUGGUUGCAAGGCUGAAUGCAACAUCCUGGAGGGACCAGCCUGUUUCAAUGCAAUUUGCACUGAGAAGGUUUUAGGGGCUGCUCAGAACCAGGGUGAGGGAGAGACCCUGCAGCAACUCGGAGCUCAACGCUGAGGCAGGAGCCCAUGAAGCAGGGACCCGGACCUUGUCUUGCACAUCACAGUCAUCCAGUUAGGGUAGAGAAACAAGAGCACGUGGCUAAGGUGACGCAUCACAACAGAUGGAGAACCACUAGGAGUCUGAGAGUUGUUCGUCUAGACUCUUUGUGAAUACUAACGUGAUGGAAGAAAUCAAGAUCAAAUGUGAAGAGCUUGCUAACUAACGUUAGAACAAAUGGUGCAACCAGCUCUUCUUGCUCCUUGCUGUGUUGCAAUGACCUUAAUAGCUUAGCCUUGCCUGAAAUGCAGUUGUGUAGGCUUCUUUCUUUCUACCGUCUACCCCUG